Non-coding RNA from Paramuricea clavata, 203 nucleotides. Lineage: Eukaryota; Metazoa; Cnidaria; Anthozoa; Malacalcyonacea; Plexauridae. The record is from the annotation of a GenBank genome assembly.
GUCGAAUUUCGGGAAAUCCCUACAUGACCGAUGAAACUAUCGAUAAAAGAUAUUUUCUUUGAAAUGUUCAGAAUUUCACGAAUCACUACGCGUAAAGCUGAAUAAAAUUUACAACAAAUUUGUAUUGCUCAUUUUAAUUAAAAGACUCGUCACGGUGUCCCUAUAUGUCGUGUGUCGUGGGUUAAAAGUCGUGUGUCGUGGGU